AGCAGCCGCGGUAAUUCCAGCUCCAAUAGCGUAUAUUAAAGUUGUUGCAGUUAAAAAGCUCGUAGUUGAAUUUCGGGGUCAGUAGGCUGGUCGUGCCACAGGUAUGUACUGGUCUCACUGAUUCCUCCUUCCUGAUGAACCGUAAUGCCAUUAAUUUGGUGUUGCGGGGAAUCUGGACUGUUACUUUGAAAAAAUUAGAGUGUUUAAAGCAGGCUAACGCUUGAAUACAUUAGCAUGGAAUAAUGAAAUAGGACGAUCGAUCCUAUUUUGUUGGUUUCUAGGAUUGACGUAAUGAUUAAUAGGGAUAGUUGGGGGCAUUAGUAUUCAAUUGUCAGAGGUGAAAUUCUUGGAUUUAUUGAAGACUAACUACUGCGAAAGCAUUUGCCAAGGAUGUUUUCAUUAAUCAAGAACGAAAGUUAGGGGAUCGAAGACGAUCAGAUACCGUCGUAGUCUUAACCAUAAACUAUGCCGACUAGGGAUCGGAUGAUGUUAAUUUUUUAAUGA
Molecule: ribosomal RNA, 504 nt
Filed under: uncultured Glomus
Lineage: Eukaryota; Fungi; Glomeromycota; Glomeromycetes; Glomerales; Glomeraceae
Description: SSU rRNA
Rfam family: Eukaryotic small subunit ribosomal RNA
Source: RNAcentral